CGGAGGGUGCAAGCGUUAUCCGGAUUCACUGGGCUUAAAGGGUGCGUAGGUGGGUUAGUAAGUCAGUGGUGAAAUCCCCGAGCUUAACUUGGGAACUGCCAUUGAUACUAUUAAUCUUGAAUACCGUGGAGGUCAGCGGAAUAUGUCAUGUAGCGGUGAAAUGCUUAGAUAUGACAUAGAACACCAAUUGCGAAGGCAGCUGGCUACGCGAAUAUUGACACUGAUGCACGAAAGCGUGGGGAUCAAACAGGAUUAGAUACCCUGGUAGUCCACGCCCUAAACUAUGGAUACUCGACAUCAGCGAUACACUGUUGGUGUCUGAGCGAAAGCAUUAAGUAUCCCACCUGGGAAGUACGAUCGCAAGAUUG
RNAcentral lists this ribosomal RNA (368 nucleotides) under uncultured organism. RNAcentral describes it as "bacterial SSU rRNA". It matches the Rfam family "Bacterial small subunit ribosomal RNA", at positions 526 to 896 of the family's 1533-position model. The record is from RNAcentral.